RNAcentral lists this long non-coding RNA (1168 nucleotides) under Medicago truncatula (barrel medic). RNAcentral's name for it is "long non-coding RNA (MTRU_LNC006760)". The record is from RNAcentral. Lineage: Eukaryota; Viridiplantae; Streptophyta; Magnoliopsida; Fabales; Fabaceae.
AAAGCUUGAUUUCAUGUAUUGAUAUUGUUGUUAACUCAAAAAUCAUUAAAGAAUGAAGAUAAACUUUGAAAUUAAACUUUUAUGCUUUCAUGUAUAGAUACAUGAGCAAACAUCGUACAAAAGCAUGUCAUAUUUUUUUGUGCUUCACGUGAAGUUAUGAGUUUUCAAUGAACCUUGACCCGACCACACUCAACGUCCAUCUGGCAAUGAUCGUAAACACAAUCAGAAAAACACAAUUGUUCGCAUAAUUAGUUUUAAUUGAAUAAUUGACUUGCACUGAUUAAUUGGAUCUCAGCAAUGUGAUGACAGUCAGAAACUCUUACCAAACCUUUAAAAUGUAGUGUCAUGUACUUUAGUCACCUAGCAACAUGGUAUAAGAUUCAUUUUAGUCACGUGGCACAAGAACUGUUUCUUUUUUUCUUAGAAGGGAUUUUACACAUGUUAAACUGUGUAAUUACUAGAAACAAUAGAUAGCUUGUAGAGCAAGGUAUCCUGCCAUACCAAGGAACUUUACCAUGCACUGGCUUUAGAUGAUUCUAGUCCUAGCUAAUAGUUAGUUACAAUUAGUUAUGAUUAUAUGAAGCUAUAUAUAGCUAUGUUGUAACAAACUCUUUUCAGUUGAAUGAAUCAAUAGAUUUUCUCUCAUUUUCUCUAUUUCUUCUUCCUCAAGCUUCUACAUUUUCUCUGAAUUCACCAUGAUUAUGGUGAAGUUUAUGAACACAAAAAUUGUCUGAUAGUAAAAAUAAUAACCAAGUACAUUGUUAGUCUGAACAUCAUAGGAGAAGAAACAUCAGCUCUCAUUAUCGGUUCCUCUCUUUCUCUUUAUUUAGGCACUAGCGGUUAGGAGUCAGCUCGGUUCACAAUUUUAUUUAUGUACAUGAUAGGGUGAGUGGCCAUUUUAUUUUUCCUUAUCUCCCCCUUCUUAUUUUUCUCAUGAUUACUUUUCUUUACCAACUUACUUCUAUCACUGUGAUAUUAAAAACACAUUGUUGGUGGUACUUCAUGACCUUAAAUAAAUUGGCCUCCUUUAGGCAUUUUCCUUCAUAAUACUGCUAUCUUUUAGAAUUGGUUUCCUUCCUCUAUUAUUAAAUUUUUGAUAGAAACAUGGCACACUUCACUUUCACCAAUAUUUUCAUUGUUUCUUUCGUAUGGGCCAAAUCAAGGAACC